AGGAAACUCACCUGCUCAAACCAUUUAGCAUCAGACUAACAGGAAAAAUUUACAAGCAUAGUAAUCUCCGACAGUAAAUCCAUGAGUAAGAAUAUGAAAAGGCUCAAUCAUUGACUACAUUCAAGGCAGACAUAUGUAGAUUUCCAGAUAUUGAGGACAUCAAAAAGUAUUGGAUUCGUAUAGGAAAAUGAUAUUGAUGUAGAAGAUCAGCCAUGAUCUCAUUAAAUGGCAGAAUGAGCUCACAGGGCCAAAUGGCCUACACCUACUGCUACUUCUAUGAUCUGGUGUUCAAAAGAGGCUGACCUUCUCUCAAAAUACAAAGGAAUGUUGUAUAAUUUCAACAAUGUGGAGACCGGAAGAGUUCGCACUGUGCCAAGGGUUUUAUAAGCAAAGGUUUAUAGACAUUGACAAAACUUUUCUGAUUUUCAAUUCCAUUCCUGUAAAAAUGAACUUGAGUACUUUGUUUGCAUUUUGAGGCCUUUUAGCCCAAGGCAUUACUUGUAAUGAUUUGUAACACGUCUCUAACAGUAUGUCCCUCUGCCCCCUUACACCAUGUAUUUUGCAGUGAGGAUGUGGCAUUGCAUUCCUCCCACUACAAAUCAAGCUCACAUUUAAUUUUAAGAAAGUAAAAGAAAUUAUGCCUGUUCUGAACCAUAAUUCUGUAUUCUUACCACUAUUUCCAAAUUCCAUCCAGCCUCUGCAUCUGGCUGAACCGGAAUAUUUAUAAUUGUGAAUUCCCCUAAGCUGAACUUCUGCCCUCAUUGUCUGUCUGUCUGUCAUAACUACCAUCCAUUUCAAUCUACAUAAAACAUACCUGUUCUGAUAUCCACUCAUUGAUUGUCGAAUUUUCAGGCACACCGUUGUUACUUCUAGUUUUAAUUCUGGACCCGAAGUUUUACCUCCUCAUCUCUUUAUCUGCCAUUAAAACCAUCUGAUCAACUUAUUUCUGUGACCAAGCUGUUAGUCAUCCCUUCUUCUGUUUCCUUCUUUUACUUGGUGGUGAUCUGUAUCUAAUUACACAUCCACAAAGCUCUAUAUAAUAUAAUUUGCACAUUAAUGGUUCAACAUGUAUGCAAAUUUUUGUUGUUGGAAGAGUGUCAACUUGAAGACUGCUUCAUUUACUGAUCAAAGAGAUAUAGAUUUCACAGUAUAGAAAGGCAUUUACGAGGCAUCUUUGGGAAUAUCAAGCAGCAGCAAGAUGUGAAAACUGCCACAAGAAGUAGUCCACUGGACUGAAGUCCUCAUUGGCCGGUAUCAUAACACAGGCACAGUGACCAUAAUUCAUGGUCUGAUUUAUGACGAUACAAAUGUUGAGCUCUCAAUUAGAGUAGCCUGCUUUGAUUGAAUUCACCAUAUGACAGAAUCAACUUGACACACCACUCAAAUCUUCAAGAGGUACUUUGUAACCCACUAGUCCGUUCUUGCACAGACCUGUACGUUUGCUGAAUGAGCAUCUAAAAUCACAGCUGUGUCAAGAACUACCACAUAUACUGACAGUUUCUCUCAGGGUGAGGCCACAUACAAAACCCUCAGGCAUUUCACUCAAAUAUUUGUAGUAAUGUGCUGAAGUUACAGGCCCCA
Molecule: long non-coding RNA, 1581 nt
Organism: Stegostoma tigrinum
Lineage: Eukaryota; Metazoa; Chordata; Chondrichthyes; Orectolobiformes; Stegostomatidae
Exons: 4
Source: RefSeq, a predicted model, not a curated record